This 944-nucleotide ribosomal RNA is filed under the name uncultured archaeon. Its description in RNAcentral is "bacterial SSU rRNA". It matches the Rfam family "Archaeal small subunit ribosomal RNA", at positions 1 to 922 of the family's 1478-position model. The record is from RNAcentral.
UUCCGGGGGUUGAUCCUGCCGGACCCGACUGCUAUUGGGGUUAGGCUAAGCCAUGCGAGUCAGCGCUUCUAGCCAUGAUGGAGCGCGGCAUACGGCUCAGUAACAUGUGGUUAACCUACCCUCAGGAGGGGGACACCCUCGGGAAACUGAGGCUGAACCCACAUAGAUGAUGGAUCCUGGAAUGGUUCUUCAUCCAAACGGUAUGCGGCUCAUGCGUCGCGUGCCGCCUGAGGAUGGGACCGCACCCUAUCAGGUAGUUGGUGGGGUAAUGGCCCACCAAGCCUAUAACGGGUACGGGCCCUGAGAGGGGGAGCCCGGAGAUGGGCACUGAGACAAGGGCCCAGGCCCUACGGGGCGCAGCAGGCGCGAAACCUCUGCAAUGCGCGAAAGCGCGACAGGGCAACCCCGAGUGCUAGGUGCUGAAUCUAGCUUUUCCUUAGUGUAGUGAGCUAGGGGAAUAAGCGGGGGGCAAGCCUGGUGUCAGCCGCCGCGGUAAUACCAGCUCCGCGAGUGGUCGGGACGAUUAUUGGGCCUAAAGCGUUCGUAGCCGGCCUAUCAAGUCUCUGGUUAAAUCUCAAGGCUUAACCUUGAGCGUGCUGGAGAUACUGUUAGGCUAGGGGGCGGGAGAGGUUGAGGGUACUUCACGGGUAGGGGCGAAAUCCUAUAAUCCGUGAAGGACCACCAGUGGCGAAGGCGCUCAACUGGAACGCGCCCGACGGUGAGGGACGAAAGCCAGGGGAGCAAAGGGGAUUAGAUACCCCCGUAGUCCUGGCUGUAAACGAUGCGGGCUAGGUGUUGGGUUGGCUUCGUGCCAACCCGGUGCCGCAGCGAAGGCGAUAAGCCCGCCGCCUGGGAAGUACGGCUGCAAGGCUGAAACUUAAAGGAAUUGGCGGGGGAGCACCACAAGGGGUGAAGCCUGCGGUUUAAUUGGAUUCAACGCCGGG